AUGAACGCUGGCGGCGUGCCUAAUACAUGCAAGUCGAGCGAACAGACGAGGAGCUUGCUCCUCUGACGUUAGCGGCGGACGGGUGAGUAACACGUGGAUAACCUACCUAUAAGACUGGGAUAACUUCGGGAAACCGGAGCUAAUACCGGAUAAUAUAUUGAACCGCAUGGUUCAAUAGUGAAAGACGGUUUUGCUGUCACUUAUAGAUGGAUCCGCGCCGCAUUAGCUAGUUGGUAAGGUAACGGCUUACCAAGGCAACGAUGCGUAGCCGACCUGAGAGGGUGAUCGGCCACACUGGAACUGAGACACGGUCCAGACUUCUACGGGAGGCAGCAGUAGGGAAUCUUCCGCAAUGGGCGAAAGCCUGACGGAGCAACGCCGCGUGAGUGAUGAAGGUCUUCGGAUCGUAAAACUCUGUUAUUAGGGAAGAACAAAUGUGUAAGUAACUAUGCACGUCUUGACGGUACCUAAUCAGAAAGCCACGGCUAACUACGUG
This 496-nucleotide ribosomal RNA is filed under the name uncultured bacterium. RNAcentral's name for it is "partial 16S ribosomal RNA". It matches the Rfam family "Bacterial small subunit ribosomal RNA", at positions 29 to 507 of the family's 1533-position model. The record is from RNAcentral.